This is a long non-coding RNA of Leopardus geoffroyi (Geoffroy's cat), 710 nucleotides long. RefSeq lists it as uncharacterized. NCBI's taxonomy places the organism in Eukaryota, Metazoa, Chordata, Mammalia, Carnivora, Felidae. The record is from RefSeq and is a predicted model, not a curated record. The transcript has 3 exons.
CUGAGCCACCCAGGCGCCCCUGUAAAUAUCUUUUUUUAAUGGACAGAUUUACUGACAUUUUGUUACAUAGAGUUUCUUUUACGUCUGGAUAUAAUUGAUAUGUCUUCAUACCCAUUAUGUCUAGAUAUCUGUAUCUAUUAUAUCUAGAAAUUGUAUAAAAUUUAGAGACCUGCUACCCCAAAUUUGUGUCUAAACCAGUGAAGGGAAGUAGAACAGUACUUAGCGCGUCUUGACGUAAUGGAUGGGUGAAAGUAUGAAUGCUCUGUAAUGCACACGUAGCGUUCAGAGCCAACAAAAGCAGCUUGUCAGUCGUCUUUGUAAUCUCUUCACCUGGCUUCCUCAUUGUCCAUUUGACGUGCAGAUAGCCUCAGUAGGCCAGUGUGGAAGCAUCAAGAGUUUGGCCUUGUAUCUCUUUAAAAGCAGGAACAGCAAAUGAGAGCUUGAGGAAGCAAUGAAGAACCCUCAGUAGUCUGGGAGGCAGCUUGCCAGAUUUCUUCUAGUCCCCACAUGGUUAUCUGUGAUACUGAAAAGCUUUAUCUGUGCAUUGGGAAGUCCCAAAUCUUUGUGAUAUGACCAUAUAGAGAGAAUGCUUUCCAGUUUCUUUGAUUUGGUAAAUGCUUUUAUGGAAUAAUAAUUUAGUCAUAAUUUUUAGUUACAGUAGCCGAGAUAUUUGGAGUAAAGGGGACAUGGGAAGAGAGUUGUGUAGGGAA